RNAcentral lists this ribosomal RNA (497 nucleotides) under uncultured bacterium. RNAcentral describes it as "partial 16S ribosomal RNA". It matches the Rfam family "Bacterial small subunit ribosomal RNA", at positions 28 to 507 of the family's 1533-position model. The record is from RNAcentral.
GAUGAACGCUGGCGGCGUGCCUAAUACAUGCAAGUCGAGCGAACAGACGAGGAGCUUGCUCCUCUGACGUUAGCGGCGGACGGGUGAGUAACACGUGGAUAACCUACCUAUAAGACUGGGAUAACUUCGGGAAACCGGAGCUAAUACCGGAUAAUAUAUUGAACCGCAUGGUUCAAUAGUGAACGACGGUUUUGCUGUCACUUAUAGAUGGAUCCGCGCCGCAUUAGCUAGUUGGUAAGGUAACGGCUUACCAAGGCAACGAUGCGUAGCCGACCUGAGAGGGUGAUCGGCCACACUGGAACUGAGACACGGUCCAGACUCCUACGGGAGGCAGCAGUAGGGAAUCUUCCGCAAUGGGCGAAAGCCUGACGGAGCAACGCCGCGUGAGUGAUGAAGGUCUUCGGAUCGUAAAACUCUGCUAUUAGGGAAGAACAAAUGUGUAAGUAACUAUGCACGUCUUGACGGUACCUAAUCAGAAAGCCACGGCUAACUACGUG